Molecule: ribosomal RNA, 1589 nt
Filed under: metagenome
Description: eukaryotic LSU rRNA
Rfam family: Eukaryotic large subunit ribosomal RNA
Source: RNAcentral
GUUUUGCUCCAAGGACCAAUCGAUGAAAAUCCGAGCGACCGCCUGUAUGUUUAGACCUAGCCUUCUGUAGUCGUACCCAUAACCGCAUCCGGUCUCCAAGGUGAACAGCCUCUAGUCGAUAGAAGAACGUUGGCAAGGGAAGUCGGCAAAAUAGAUCCGUAACUUUGGGAAAAGGAUUGGCUCAAGGGGUUUGAUGCGGGGGGGCCGAUUGGUCCGUCUGCUGGGAAUAGAGGGUGGGCUACUGCGCUUCACUGCGCGGCGGCCUGCUCUCCGAGCCCGGUGGACGCUGGUCGGAGGAUCCGCAUAAGUAAAAACCAACUUUGAACCGACACGGACUCGGGGAAUCCGACAGUUUAAUUAAAACCAAGCAUUGUGACAUGCGAUAACCGCACUUUACACAAUGUGAUUUCUGCCCAGUGCUUCGAUUUGUGAAACUUGCGAAAACAGAUUAAGCACAGGUCAACGGCGGGAGUAACUAUGACUCUCUUAAGGUAGCCAAAUGCCUCGUCAUCUAAUUAGUGACGCGCAUGAAUGGAAAAAUGAGACUCCCACUGUCCCUGUCAACCAUCUAGCGAAACCACAGCCAAGGGAACGGGCUUGGAACCGAAAGCGGGGAAAGAAGACCCUCUUGAGUUUGACUCUAUUCUGUCUUGGUUGCUUGGCUUGGAAGGUGUAGAAUACGUGGGAGCUGGAAACAGCGAUCGUGAAAUACCACGACUUUCGACGCUAAGCGGCUCAUUUGUUGAAAAGUGACUGCCUUCUUAACCGGAGGCACUUUGUCUGAUCUGGAAGUCCGUGCGUAGCAAUACGAGCGGGCGACACCAUAACAAACACAGAGACAGGUGGGGAGUUUGGCUGGGGCGGCACAUCUGUUAAACGGUAACACAGGUGUCCUAAGCGGCGCUCAAUGAGAACAGAAAUCUCAUGUAGAACAAAAGGGCAAAAGCACCGUUCAUUGGCAUUCUCAGUACCAAUACCAACUGCUAAAGCAUGGCCUAUCGAUCCUUUUUUGCAUUCAAGAAAGCGAACGCGUCGCAAAAGAGGUGUCAGAAAAAUUACCAAAGGGAUAACUGGCUUGUGGCUGCUAAGAGUUCAUAUCGACGUAGCCUUUUGAUUCUUCGAUGUCGGCUCUUCCUAGCUUUCCGCCGCAGCAGACGGAAAGAGUGAGAUUGUUCAUCUGAUAAAGGGAACGUGAGCUGGGUUUAGACCGUCGCGAGACAGGUUAGUUUUACCCUACUUUCAAAGUAGAAGGUUCAUUGAUAGUAGUAAGAUGUAGUACGAGAGGAACUAUCUUGCGAGCACACGGGCCCAUGCAAUUGCUGGAAACGGUAAUGUUGCGAAGCUCCCGCUCUUGGAUAAGAUCUGAACGCCUCUAAGAUUUAAUCCAUGCUGGAAAAGUGAACUGUUUUUGGGGCUGAUUGAUAGCGAUUCAAGUUACUAAUAUUCCGCCGCCGGGCUGGAAGCAAAACACACUGAGCGGUGCUCCCUGGCUUUGGCAAUCAUGCCGAGGUUAAAGCAUCCACACACUUUCCACAAAUCGGUCAGCCUCUAAUCGAAUGCAGACGACUUUAUUAGCCAAGGAGUAUUGU